Molecule: long non-coding RNA, 1102 nt
Organism: Paramacrobiotus metropolitanus
Lineage: Eukaryota; Metazoa; Tardigrada; Eutardigrada; Parachela; Macrobiotidae
Exons: 3
Source: RefSeq, a predicted model, not a curated record
AUCCCAGACACAAUCACGUUGGGAGAAUGUUAUCAAACUGCUGACGCGCUGUACCACUUUCGAAACACUUGGCGGCACCAGCGGAAGGACGGCUUAUCUCGGAAGUGAUGGUGAAAAAGUGAAAUUGCCGUAUCUCCUUCGCAGCCGCAGAUUCUGUAAUAAUUUAUGAGUAAUGGCUCAUGUGAAGAAAAGAUAACGGCGCGACUUUAUCGGGACUGCAAUUGGAUAAGAUGAAAAUAUCCCAAUAAUAAACUUCCAGUUUGUUCUUCCACCGCCGUUCGAGAAUGCGCGGAUUUGAUGGAGAACCGAUGGGGAGGAAAAUUCGGCCUGAGCGUCAAAGAGAAGCGAUUGCAGCAUCGCAAUCGCACUGCGAAAAGAUGCAGUGAAGGCGAAGACGACUGCUUGACUCAUUCAUAAACGAUGAUAGGACGGAGUGGGGCGGAGACAAAAGUUGAUUGACCAAUCGGGUUGAUCGCGUUAAAACUAUGCGUAGGGCGUGUGUGGUGGUCGAAUCACUGCCAACAUUUUUUUAUUUUGGCAAAUUGACCGCUGGUGCCUGGUGGUGACUAGCCGAAACUUCAUCCGAAUUGAUCCGGAUCCUCAGAAAUUUAUGCGACGGCCUAAUGUGCAAGCUGCAACAAAAGGCAUGGACGCGGAACCCGACCCGGGCGUACAACUGCAUAGAUUUCAGCCCGAAACGCAGUUUCGCUCCUGCCAAAAUUCAACCGCCGGGCAUACGAUUACGCACAAAUACAAAGAUACUUCUAUAUGAACCCCUUUUAUGUUCGCCCAGUAUCCUAAAUUCCAAAAAAGUUCUAUGAUCAUGAAAUUACUCUCAUGUCAGGAGAUGUGCAUGAUAGUCGAUUGUGCAUGAUUCUGGAUGUGACGUUACUUACAUUCGUUUCAGAACUUCUUAACUGUUUGAGUACAAUCAUACAAUGCUUUUUUGGUCUGCACACGUAGCCUGACGUACAGUAGAUUAUGUACUUAGUUGUCUCAAGCACAAUUUGGGCCAGAGGUUCGGCAUCGAAAUUCAACGUGGAAGCGCGGCAUCCAUCCUGGGAACGGCACCGUCUAAUUUAGAUCAGAAAUGUUCUCUGUA